AAAUGAGUGGGGAAAAAACUGUCCAAAAGAAGCCCGCCAAAAAACUGCCCGGAACAGUGUCACGCGCGCGGCGCGUGAGCAGUCGUCGGCGGCGCAUGCGUCGGUUUCCGGCGACGAAACUCGCAAGGGUUGUGCGCCUGAUAGUGUAUGUCUCGGUGGUGUAGGAGGUGUCGAAGAAAGACCACCGUGAGAGACCACUGUUGACGAUUCCGAGGAGAGAGAGAGGGGUACUUACCUGUGGCUACCGGCGGUUCGUCGGGGAUGCCAGUGGGGUUUUUCUGCCGUCAGAGGGGGUGGUCUCCGGGGUGGAGAGGUCGCCGGGGGAGGGGGGGCGAGGG
RNAcentral lists this long non-coding RNA (338 nucleotides) under Nicotiana benthamiana. RNAcentral's name for it is "long non-coding RNA (NBEN_LNC009675)". Lineage: Eukaryota; Viridiplantae; Streptophyta; Magnoliopsida; Solanales; Solanaceae. The record is from RNAcentral.